Molecule: ribosomal RNA, 460 nt
Filed under: uncultured bacterium
Lineage: Bacteria
Description: partial 16S ribosomal RNA
Rfam family: Bacterial small subunit ribosomal RNA
Source: RNAcentral
CCUACGGGUGGCAGCAGUGAGGAAUAUUGGUCAAUGGACGAGAGUCUGAACCAGCCAAGUAGCGUGAAGGAUGACUGCCCUAUGGGUUGUAAACUUCUUUUAUAUGGGAAUAAAAUGUUCCACGUGUGGGAUUUUGUAUGUACCAUAUGAAUAAGGAUCGGCUAACUCCGUGCCAGCAGCCGCGGUAAUACGGAGGAUCCGAGCGUUAUCCGGAUUUAUUGGGUUUAAAGGGAGCGUAGGUGGAUUGUUAAGUCAGUUGUGAAAGUUUGCGGCUCAACCGGAAAAUUGCAGUUGAAACUGGCAGGCUUGAGUACAGUAGAGGUGGGCGGAAUUCGUGGUGUAGCGGUGAAAUGCUUAGAUAGCACGAAGAACGCCGAUUGCGAAGGCAGCUCACUGGACUGCAACUGACACUGAGGCUCGAAAGUGUGGGUAUCAAACAGGAUUAGAUACCCCGGUAGUC